AGUGAACGCUGGCGGUAGGCCUAACACAUGCAAGUCGAACGGCAGCACAGUAAGAGCUUGCUCUUACGGGUGGCGAGUGGCGGACGGGUUAGGAAUACAUCGGAAUCUACUUUUUCGUGGGGGAUAACGUAGGGAAACUUACGCUAAUACCGCAUACGACCUACGGGUGAAAGCAGGGGAUCUUCGGACCUUGCGCGAUUGAAUGAGCCGAUGUCGGAUUAGCUAGUUGGCGGGGUAAAGGCCCACCAAGGCGACGAUCCGUAGCUGGUCUGAGAGGAUGAUCAGCCACACUGGAACUGAGACACGGUCCAGACUCCUACGGGAGGCAGCAGUGGGGAAUAUUGGACAAUGGGCGCAAGCCUGAUCCAGCCAUACCGCGUGGGUGAAGAAGGCCUUCGGGUUGUAAAGCCCUUUUGUUGGGAAAGAAAAGCAGCAGGUUAAUACCCCGCUGUUCUGACGGUACCAAAAGAAUAAGCACCGGCUAACUUCGUG
Molecule: ribosomal RNA, 492 nt
Filed under: uncultured bacterium
Lineage: Bacteria
Description: partial 16S ribosomal RNA
Rfam family: Bacterial small subunit ribosomal RNA
Source: RNAcentral